GUGAGGAAUUUUCCGCAAUGGGCGAAAGCCUGACGGAGCAAUGCCGCGUGAAGGAUGAAGGCCUAUGGGUUGUAAACUUCUUUUCUCAGAAAAGAAUUAUGACGGUAUCUGAGGAAUAAGCAUCGGCUAACUCUGUGCCAGCAGCCGCGGUAAGACAGAUGAUGCAAGCGUUAUCCGGAAUGAUUGGGCGUAAAGCGUCUGUAGGUUGUUUAAAAAGUAUUCUGUCAAAGAUUAGGGCUUAACCCUAGAUAGGCAGAAUAAACUUUUAAGCUAGAGUUUGGUAGAGGCAGAGGGAAUUCCCGGUGGAGCGGUGAAAUGCGUAGAUAUCGGGAGGAACACCAAAGGCGAAGGCACUCUGCUGGGCCAAUACUAACACUGAGAGACGAAAGCGAGGGGAGCAAAUGGGAUUAGAAACCCCAGUAGUCC
Molecule: ribosomal RNA, 426 nt
Filed under: uncultured bacterium
Lineage: Bacteria
Description: partial 16S ribosomal RNA
Rfam family: Bacterial small subunit ribosomal RNA
Source: RNAcentral